UUGGUGAAAUCUUCCUAGUAAGGGUUGGGGCUUGCGAUCAAAAGUCUUCAGACUCUUUAUUGAAUUAACAGUGAGAGUUGGAUCUUUUAUCUGCAGGCCCAUUCUGGAGGGAUUUAAGUUGGUGUGCGUCGAGCAUGAGAAGCUGACGACGGUGUUAGAUGGCCUUCGCCGGAGGAAACAUAAUCUCGAUCACAAUCUCGGCAGGAUCAAAGCUUGGAGGAAGGCAUGGAACAUAGCUCAAGGGAUAGCCAAGUUCGGAGUCACUGUGCUCUCUGUGCUGAUCCCGGUGGCAGGUGUGCGGCCAGCUGCCACCGCCGCUAACAACGGAGCCAGCGGAAUGAUCGGGCUUCUUCAGCCGUUGGUUGACUCCCAUCUAUCUGGUCAACAGAGGUCGUGCGAGGUUGAGAUAGACCUCACUGCAAAGAUCUUGAACGAAGCUUGCUUCAUAUUUCAUAGGGUCAACAGCGCCCGAGUUCUUGUGGAGGAGUUGCAGGAUGAGAUGGGGUUGUUGGCUAAGUGUGGUGAGUUCCUCGCUGUGGCUGGGGAGGAUGAAGAUGGGGUUGUGAGCAGAGAGAUGGACAAGAUCAAAUGUAAGGCCGGAGAAUUGGUGGAUAAGAUUGAGAAUUUGGAGAAGGAGGUGGAUUGCAGCCGCGUGGAUCUCCGCAGGGCUGCGUUGACUCUACUUCAGACCGUCACUGACCAGGUUGGAAAUUCUCAGCAAGUGUCCAUUGAGAUCCCCGCUUAGUAAAUGUGCCCAUUGAGAUCUUCGCUUAAUAAUUAAAGGUUGUUGCAGAUCCUUCAUUAAGUUUCAAACAACAAUCUCUCAUAGUUGAUGCAGCAUGGGCGCUUGACAAGGCAAAAAUGAUGCGCAUUGAUGAAAAAAGUGGCAAAAUUGAUCCUGGACAGAGAGAAGAGGAACAAGAAAAGCUUGAGACUUUGCUGAGAGUAUCAUGUCCUUUGGAAGUGAAGCGGGGAGCUACUGACAAAGGUUGUGAGCAGUUCAUGUCAAAUGAAAGUCAACUUUUGAAUAUCUUGUUAAAGCGUCAAUUUUUUAUUGAAUGUUUGUAAGCAAUGUCUGGAAGCAAUUUCUUUUUGAAUGUUUGUAAACAUUGUUUGAGAACAAGCCUUGGUUUCAUUUCAUAUGUUCUUGCUUGUGAAGAUGUGUGAACAAAUUUGUAAAUUUA
Molecule: RNA transcript, 1184 nt
Organism: Dioscorea cayenensis subsp. rotundata (Guinea yam)
Lineage: Eukaryota; Viridiplantae; Streptophyta; Magnoliopsida; Dioscoreales; Dioscoreaceae
Exons: 5
Source: RefSeq, a predicted model, not a curated record